This is a long non-coding RNA of Cyprinus carpio (common carp), 1769 nucleotides long. RefSeq lists it as uncharacterized. The record is from RefSeq and is a predicted model, not a curated record. NCBI's taxonomy places the organism in Eukaryota, Metazoa, Chordata, Actinopteri, Cypriniformes, Cyprinidae. The transcript has 3 exons.
ACCUGCCAGUGGAUUGCGGCUUCUGCAGAUCCCUGCCCCUGAAAUACAUAGUGUCUGAAGCAACGGCCUAGUAAAUUGUAAAAUAUUGUGCAAGUCAGUAUGCUUGAUGAAGAUGGGUGCAUGAGCGUAGUGUAUGUAUGAGGUUGUGUAGCACUUAAGGGGUGGAGAAAUACUUGAAAGGGAUCCAGAUUACUCUUGUGGUUUUUGGAGCUCUGCAGCAAGUCGUGCCUGAUUGGAGAUAUCUCUGUAAGUGAGCUAAAAGGGCAAGUGGAUAUAACUCAAACCACCAUGAAUAGUCGGUGUGUCAGAAUGUCUAUCAUAUGGGUGGAUGAUUGACAGGAGGUGUUCUGGAGGUAGAGGACUAACUGGCAGCAGGAUCAGGGCAGCGUCUCUGAUGCUGAUGAACUUGGGAGCUGGAGAAGUACAGAGGGGACAAUAAAAUGCUUCAGAGCAUGAAAUGGGUCUCAGCACCAGCGGCAGGGUUCUCUCUGCACCUCCUAACAAUGUUCUGAACCCCAUCAUGUGACCCGGACACAGUGCUGAGCACCGCCUGGCUUGCCCGUUCAAACAACAGCUUAAACUGCUUGCAGAUGUUGAUCAGCGAAUAAAUUCUUUGCAAAGUCUGUGAGUAUGGAGUGGAGGAACGUUGGAGACUAAAGUGAAGGGGGACUGUUUUGUUUCUUGCACUAGUUUUUAAGUAGCACAGUAUAUUGCAUGGAAUGAUGUAUCACACAUGAAUUGUACCAUGAAGCUUCACAUCACAUGUUGUGUUUUUCAUCGGUUUAAUUUCUCUUUCUUGUUUUUCUUCACUGCUCGGCUAUAUAUUAUAGCACCCUUGACCUUUCCUCUUCCCAAGGAAGACAAGGAAAUAAAACAACUAUCUCUCAGGGCUCUUAAGCCUGGAUAUAACAUGAUCACAUCUCCAUAGAUGAAACUAAUAAAACAAGUUUUGUUUUCCACUGGGCGCCCUGGCCAAGAACAUUGACUUAGUUUAGAAUGAAUCACACAAGUGUUUUAUAUCAGCUGUAACAGAUUAAAGACAUCCAGCUCUGUCGUGUGCUAUAAUUUAAUUAACAGAUGCUUUAUAGAUCUCACAUUGAAUUUCACCUUUGGGUACAGUAUAUAAGCAGUGCUUCAAUAACCACUCAAGUGGGUUGGUACUUUAAUAUGUUAAAAAUGACCCUUAAACCAGUUUAUGCUAGGUGGGCGAAAUGCCUGUGUUUCCUCACAGUGCAGCCACCAUUUUUCACAAGGACGCACACAUACUCGCAAAUUAUGUAAAGCCUGUCUGAGGAGAGAAAACCCUUGAUGACAUUAAACGUCAGCGGCGGGUAACAUUCAGAGUAAACAAGACCCGAGCUGUGCAAGUUCCCCCUCGCACUGCACGUAUCAACAGAGACCGAGAGCUAGCCAAACAUACACACUGCACUUAUUCACAUACUCUGGUUCAGCCAUUGUUUAUUAAAGGUCAGGGGUCACAUAGAGCAAGAGUGAUAGAGAGAAAAAGAGAGAUAAAAAAACAUGCUUAAAGAAGAUAAAAUGGUGAAAUUGGGAGAGCCUAUGUUUUACUCGCUGCAGAAAAGAAGUAUUACUUUAAUCAAAAGUUACUUUCCAAAAAUUGGGGUCAGCAAUAUUUUUAAACCAAUUUGGUCACAAGGGGAACUUGCCUACUACAGGCUAUUCAGCACAAAAAUUAUGAAACAACAAGAAUAUAAAAGGUAACAUACAAAAUAUCAAACCACUGUUUUAGCCAAAACUGAAUAAACUGU